UACAGAGGGUGCAAGCGUUGUUCGGAAUUACUGGGCGUAAAGGGCGCGUAGGCGGCCCUCUAAGUCAUGCGUGAAAUCCCCGGGCUCAACCCGGGAACUGCGUCUGAUACUGGAGGGCUCGAAUCCGGGAGAGGGAUGUGGAAUUCCAGGUGUAGCGGUGAAAUGCGUAGAUAUCUGGAGGAACACCGGUGGCGAAGGCGGCAUCCUGGACCGGCAUUGACGCUGAGGCGCGAAAGCCAGGGGAGCAAACGGG
RNAcentral lists this ribosomal RNA (253 nucleotides) under uncultured bacterium. RNAcentral's name for it is "partial 16S ribosomal RNA". It matches the Rfam family "Bacterial small subunit ribosomal RNA", at positions 524 to 776 of the family's 1533-position model. The record is from RNAcentral.